Molecule: long non-coding RNA, 6199 nt
Organism: Rhincodon typus (whale shark)
Lineage: Eukaryota; Metazoa; Chordata; Chondrichthyes; Orectolobiformes; Rhincodontidae
Exons: 3
Source: RefSeq, a predicted model, not a curated record
ACGAAGGAUGUUUCUUUCCCUUGGCUGGCCAGCAAAAGACGACUGUAAAAAUGAGCUGCUGUUUCAAUUUCUAAAGCAGUUUUGUCGCAUUCACUUGCUACAGUCCACUGAAACCCUGGCGGCCUCCGUAGCGCUAACUUUAUUGUGAAGCUUUGUGAAUAGCCCCAUAUCCCGUUGCAGUGCACAGACCACACGUUGUUGAGACGGCAUUACCUCUUUCUGGUCCAGACUAUACAACCUCCCCGCCCCCACCUCCUCCUCCGCCCGUCUAAUCACGGACUUCCUGGGAAAAUCAGGCAGCCGUUCAUCCUGAAGUGAGUGUUUAAAUUACAGGAUUUGAAGAGCUCCGGAUGGGAAAGUAACCCCCGAAUGCCUCUAACUAAACUCAGGUCUUGGAUCUUAACCUCGCGGCCUCACAUCUGUUUCGAGGGAAAAAGGGCGUUCGGACUCAAACGGAAGAAACUUCUGGUGUGCAUCAAAAGGUCGACUAGCAAAGCCUGAAGAUGCUUCCAUGUUCAAUGGCAUCAAAGUGACAGCAGCCUCAAUCACAUCCUGCGCCUGAUCCCAAGAAGAUAUGAAUAGGGUGAAGGCGGGCUUGAUGCAACUGAAAGGAACAAAACGUCUUAUUGUGUUAGCGAAGUCAGGCUGGAAUCAUACUGAAAAGAACUCCUUGUCACGAAAAGUACUCCAUCUGCAAUCAGAUGAAUAGGCUGCAUGCGUGUGUGUCUCAGCCUCAGGUCUAAUAGACUAGCAAUCUGAUUUUAACUUGUAAUUUGUGUUUUCUUCUGUUGCCAGAACUGGCAGAUGCAAGAGGGUGUCCGUUAAUGUUCAAGUUCAUUACUCCCUUCCAAAAGAGGCCUGAGCUGAUCAUAAUUGCAGAAGGAGUUUGAUCUUGAACUCUUUAUAUGUACAUUACAGCUUGCCUUCAUAUCUUGGUACAAUUGUGUCUUUUUCUGCUUUUUUAGAACAAAAACUGCUGCUUCAAAACAAAAUGUUGACCAUCACUUUCUGCAUCCGCAAUAUAACAGUAAUGCCAUAUAUUGUUAUAAAUCAUCUAUGUAAAUUGUUUUUCUGUGAUUUUAUCUGAGCUUUUAAUUGCAUAAGAGCAUAUUUUGAAAUCAACUGCAUAAAAUGAGUAAUUUAGGCAUGCAGGUGUUUGAAGAAUUGGUUUCCUAUUUAAUACCAUUGAUAGCUAGCCCCUGCACUUCAUUGUUACUAGAAUCAUUAUAAUCAAGAUCAAUUGAACCUGAGUACUAGAAAGUCAAAUGCACCAAAAUGUAGAAGCAAUAUUUUUAUAGUUGUGGAGGUAAAGGAAACAUCAAGUGCUAGAAAUCUGAAAUAAAAAUUGAAUAUCAAAUAAGGCAAAGAUAAUCCCAUCAAAAUACACAUUGAAGCUACACAUUCAGUUCGCUUUUCUUUCAGAUUGUGCUCCUGUGCAUUUGUUUCAUAUUUAUUUUUAUUCAAGGCCAUUUUUUAAAUGUUCAAUUAUCUUGUUUUCCAGAAUGCUGCAAUUUUCUACUAUUAAAUUUUAGUACCUUGGCUUUGAUUAUAACAAAAAUGUUAUAUAAUAUUUUUCAUAUCGUAGAAAUAGUCAAGAUGCUUCACAAAAGAAACACUUUUGAAUUGUAGUCAUCAUUUUGGUAAAUCUGGCAGAAAAUCUGCAUACAGCCAGAUCAGACAACUAGCACAAAGGAAACAAAAAAGUUGUUUUGAUGUUACUGACCAAGGUACAGAAGAAUUCUCUUCUUUGAAUAAUGCCAGAGUGUCUUUAACAUUCAUCUAAACAGGUAGACAGGGCCUCAAGUUUUAAUGUUUCAUCCAAGUGUCAGAAGCUCUGACAAUUCAGUAUUUCCUCUGUAUAGCUCUAAAUGAAAAUCUUGUAAAACUGCAAAAAUUGAUAAUUGCUAAGUGAUAACUGAGAGCCUGGUAAUUUAUACACAUGUAUUUACAAAGAAAUAACAGGCAACAGUGACAGGGCUAGAUUUGGCUAAUGUUGUAGAAAAAGUACCAAGCUGGGAGUGGAAAGAUGCCAAUUUACUAAGCCUAAAGACUGUGUCAGGAGCUACAUUAACCCAGAUGCAGAGAUGAUGAGGGUCGGGGUUAGGUCGUAUAACAGAGAUUCCAUGAAAUUUAAUAGAAAUGGUCUUCCAAAUUCAUUUUGACUGAUCUCAAAAUGAUCAGAGGGAGGGCUGGGAAAGGGAGGAGGGGUAGGGCCUUGACCUCCCCCCAUCCCCACCAUUGCCACUUGCUCAACCACUGACAGAGUUUUAUAUUCUUUUGAGGACUUAGAAGGCGGCGGUAAGCCGGUUCCUGGGACUGCUGAAGUUUAUGUGGUGUACAAGUGAAGAAGCUUGUAACAUUUCAAUGAUAUGACAACUGUUUCUUUCCUUUAAUCAGAUGGUAUUAUUUUCAUGUACAUUCUGAUGAAGGUACACAACAAACAGAAGAGCAGUCUGGUGUAAAAAUAUUUAUUUUGAGAGUGGCUAAUUUCAAAGAAGUGAGACCAUACCUCUGCCAGGUCAAUCAGAUUCAAAGACUAACAAGCAAAAUUGUAAAAGAACAAUGGGCCGUCUUUUAAAAAGGCUAAAAUUCAGGUUCAGUUAAGGUUCAUUCCCAUGAUGGUGACAGAUGAGACAACCAAACCCAGAAUUCUCUACAUAACAAGAAAGAUAGAGAGUAAGAUGAAGUAGGAAGAGAGUGCGUAUGACAGAUGUCAGUUUGGUAAUUAAAGUGAGAACCAGUGUGAUUACAAGGAUGAGAGGGGAAGUGCAAAAGUGAAAUAGGAGAGGCAGAUAUGAGAAGAAAAUUGGCAGCAACAUAAAAAAGAAUCAAAAAUUUUCUAUAGGCAUUUAAAUAGUAAAAAAAAAAGAUAGUAAGAAGAGGGACAGCAGUGAUUAGGACCUAUAAACGGGAUCUACACAUGGUGGCAGUGAGUGUGGCUAAGGUACUAAGUGAACACAUUGUCUUUACCAUGGAAAAACUACCCUUAACUUUGUACAACUAAAAGUAGUACACAGAGACCUCCCAACUCAAAUAACAUCCAAAAACCAAAGAAAAACAAGUUAUUGUUACAAUUGGAGUGAAAACACAAGCACAACAUGAAAUCUUAUUGUCCUGCAAAUACUACUGAAUCAAAGUGAACUGUGAAUAUAAACUCUUAAGUAUAAUAAUUAUUGAGAAUUGUCUUCUUUGCAGUGCUUUUCCAGACAAUGGUGACUAAUUAUACAAAUCAAAGAAUGUUUGUAUUUAUUGUAUUUUAAAUGCUGAAAUUAAAGCUUCAGAUAAAGUACACAUAUGAGCUUGAAUUUUGUUUAAUUUUGGUGACCUGACUGUUCAGUUGAUAUAUUGAUUAAAGUGGAAACCGAGUUUCAGAGUUUGCAGGAUUAAAAACCCACAGUCAAGAACCUAGAACUAAUUUGAUCUAAUUGUACACAUACCCCAUAAGGUCAUUUGCUGGCAGCAACUUUAUAAAUACCUGUGAUUUGAUUGAGUAUUUUAGAUUUCCAAACUUAACUGUUGAUACAAAACUUAUUUUUCAUUGGAUAUUUUAAAAUUAAUAAAUUCAGUGGUUUCUUUUAACAAUUAGAGAUCAGAUUUAUUGUGAACUAUUUAAUGUCACUUAAAUUACAUUCCAAACUUACCCCAGCAUUAUCAGUUCCUGGAAUAGAUUGCAUCAGUUUAUUUUUACACACUACACCUUACUGUUCUGUCAUAUGUUUUAUCCACCACGUAAAAACAUGAUCACACUCGAAGUUGCACAAAUGCAUGUACUUAUAUAGCACCCUAGACUGCAGCAUGAAGGAACGGUUGGGCCUUUGAAUUUUAGAACAAUGAGGUGAUAUUAUUAAAACGUAUAAGAUUCUGAGGGGACAUCUCAGGUCAAAUGAUGAAGGGAUGUUUCCCCUUGUAGGAGACAACUAGGGAACACAGUUUUAAAAUAGAAUGGUUUCUCAUUAUAGAUGGAGAGGUGAAGAUUUUUUUCUCUGUGUCAUUAGUGUCUGGAUUUCAAUUCCGCAAAGAUCAGUGGAAGCAAAUUCAUUGAGUGCCUUUAAAGCUGAGUUGUUUAGGUUCUUGGUUGAAAAGGGAGUCAAGGGAUACAAACAAGCAGAGGCCUCAAUCAGACCAACCAUAAUCUAACUGAAUGGCAGAGGAAGCAUGGAUGUGCCAAAUGGCCUCCUCUUGCUCUCAAUUUGUGUGUUUUAAUGUGCACAAAAACACAACAUUGACGCAAACAGUCCAGAAUGGGUUAUAUAGAUAGAGAUCAUCUGCAGGCAUGGAUUCCAGCACUACGUACCCACCUUAUAAUACCAUAUUUCAGCAUAAAAUAGGAUUAUAAAAAUGUCAACUGCAGCCAAGCCUGUAAUACAAUACAGCCAUUGUACUAAAACAUUGUCACAUAUUGAUAGCAGUUCAAUGUUAUGUCUAAAUCAAUCCCAAUAAAUAAGCAAUCAAAACUAUACAGGCCAAGUCCUUGUAUGUAAUAACCUCUUUAUAUAUCACUUGUUCUAAAUACCUAUUUUUCAAGGAACAAAUAAUUAAUAAAAUUUGAGUCACGUUUAACGGCAUUUAAUAUCUGUCAACUUAACAAAUGUAUUAUGAUGACUGCUUUCAUAUUGAUUUGGCCUGAAAACUUACUUGAAUUUGUAAAACUGUCUUACAACAAAGUUGUGCUCUCAAAUUACCUUUCCCUUCCCCUCUUUUCUUCAGCUCAGAUACUAGCAGUUGGUCUUGAAUGAUUAAACAUAACAAUUUGCAAAGAAGUGGCAUAUUACAAUCCAACCAUCACUAUGGGUUAUAGCAAAUUUCUAGUAAACAGGAGAUCCCAAGUUCAAAUCACAUUGGUGCCUCUCUCACUCUCCUUUGAAAAAAGGCUUAAAAAGGGCAUCUUAUGAUGCAGUGAUAACAUUGCUAAUUCAAGAAUUACCUGCCCCAGAGAUAUGUCUAAAUAGAUUAACUUUAAAAAUAUUUUUAAUAAUAUAUCUGUCAGUAUCGGUAUAGCAGGAAUCUUCUGGUCAAGUAUACAGGUUACACAAACCAGAUGCACAUGGUGGAAUUUAAGGCCCUCCACUGUGGUGAGUUUAGUGUUGAAGGUUUUAAUUAGGUGAGAGGAUGACCAGUAUGGCUCCCAUCACCUUUGUGCCUCCAACAAGAAGAAUGUGGAUGGCAAUUAAUGACACUUAAGGGCUACAACCUGUAGCUGGUGAUAUUAAUGCAGCAGAGGGCUAGGGGGCUGAUCAUGUGGACAGCAUGACAAGAAAACCCAUGCAGUGUUGCGUGUGGGCUACUGGGUGGAGAGAAGGGUGUGGCUUUAUUCAAAGGCACUCAAUGCAUUACCAAGGGAUACUGCAUGAGGAGGUGGGUGCAUGUACUGAGAAUCUCCCCAACUCCCUGUAAACAUCCUUCUGUCAUCACUCAUCUGGCCUGGGAUCCAGAAACAGUGUUUGGCCUUGGGUCACUGUAAUAUUGGCAACAACCACUGCUUCCCCAGUAGCAAUGCUGAGUAAUAAAGCUAGCUGCUUCUGAUUUGCUAGUUACAAGAGACACCACAUAUCCAAUGCUGCACAAAUUAUAAUUGUUCAGUCGGAUCAAAUCUAUGUAGAAAAAUUAUGACUCUGAAAUUCUGUGUCCUCUUAUCACACCAGCAUAAAAUCUACAGAAACGGAAAAAAAAAGUCUUCCAUUUAAAUAGUACCUUUCAGGCCCUGAGGAUCUGCUGAAAUUCUUUACAGCCAAUUAGCUAUGAUUUUUGAAGUAUAACCAUUGUUGUAAUAUAGGACAUACGACAGACCAUUUCCAGAUCAUCUGUUUUAUGAAUGUUGCUAUUUCCAGAUCAUCUGUUUUAUUAAUGUUGCUUGAAAUAUAUAUAUUGGCUAGGAAAAUCGAAGAACUACCCUGCACUUCUUCAAAAUAGUGCCAUUGUAUCUUUUAUGUCUACCUGAGAGGACAGACAGGACCUUGAUGUGGCAGAUGUGGUGCUCAAGUGGAAGUUAAUCACAGAACCAGUUGCCUCAGGAGCAGGAGGGCCACCAACUUGUAACAUCGCCUUCUCAUUGUUAUUGUACUGAGAUCACUGCUGAACUCUUGCUGGAGUGAUGACAGACUCGUAAGCUAUGAAUGUACCUUGAUACAACAAAUAACUUUGGGAUGCUUGUGUUCGUUGAAAUGAUGAUAAACUAAAUAAAGUACAUUUUUGAAUUUCA